Molecule: ribosomal RNA, 617 nt
Filed under: uncultured bacterium
Lineage: Bacteria
Description: bacterial SSU rRNA
Rfam family: Bacterial small subunit ribosomal RNA
Source: RNAcentral
ACAGGCCUUACAAGGCGACGAUCUGUAGCGGCUAGGAGAGGAUGAUUAGCCACCCUGAGAGUGAGAUACGCCCCAGAGUCAUACAGGCGGCAGCCGUGGUGAAUAUUGAGCAAUCGGGGGAACCUUGAUCCCAACAGGGGGAGUCUGUGAGGAAGACCUUUGGGUGGUAAAACACUUUAAGCGAGGAGGAGGCUUCCAUUAUUAAUGAUAAAGGAGAGUGGAGUUUACUAGCAGAAUAAGCACCGGAUAUAUGUGCCCCCGCAGCCGCGGUAAUACAGAGGGCGCGAGCGUUCAUGAAAUUUAGUGGGUAAAAAGCGUGUGUAGGUGUACAAAUAUGUCAAAUGAGAAAUCCCGGAUCUUCCCUGGGGAAUCACUUUAAAUAGUUCUGGGCUAGAGCAUGAGAGAGAAUGGUAGAUUUCCAGGUGUAGCGGAAAAAUGUGUAGAUAUGGGGAGGCACCCCGAUGGAGAAGGCAUCCAUCGGCCGUAAUACUCACUGAGACGUAAGAAAGCAUGGGGCGCACACAAGAUUAGACCCCGGGGUAGCCCACCCUAAAAAAGAGGUAUUAUAGCCGUGGGGGUAUUGGCGCCUUUAGUGCCGCAGCUAACGCGAUAAGUAG